UAGGGAAUCUUCCACAAUGGGCGAAAGCCUGAUGGAGCAACGCCGCGUGUGUGAUGAAGGGUUUCGGCUCGUAAAACACUGUUGUAAGAGAAGAAUGACAUUGAGAGUAACUGUUCAAUGUGUGACGGUAUCUUACCAGAAAGGAACGGCUAAAUGCGUGCUAG
RNAcentral lists this ribosomal RNA (164 nucleotides) under uncultured bacterium. Its description in RNAcentral is "partial 16S rRNA". It matches the Rfam family "Bacterial small subunit ribosomal RNA", at positions 355 to 511 of the family's 1533-position model. The record is from RNAcentral.